Molecule: ribosomal RNA, 538 nt
Filed under: Tremella sp.
Lineage: Eukaryota; Fungi; Basidiomycota; Tremellomycetes; Tremellales; Tremellaceae
Description: partial large subunit ribosomal RNA
Rfam family: Eukaryotic large subunit ribosomal RNA
Source: RNAcentral
GCAUAUCAAUAAGCGGAGGAAAAGAAACUAACAAGGAUUCCCCUAGUAGCGGCGAGCGAAGAGGGAUGAGCCCAAAUUUGUAAUCUGGCGUCCUCCGGGCGUCCGAGUUGUAAUCUACAGAAGCGUUUUCCGUGCCGGACCGUGUCCAAGUCCCUUGGAAUAGGGUAUCAAAGAGGGUGAGAAUCCCGUGCUUGACACGACGACCGGUGCCAUGUGAUACGCUCUCUACGAGUCGAGUUGUUUGGGAAUGCAGCUCAAAACGGGUGGUAAAUUCCAUCUAAGGCUAAAUAUUGGCGAGAGACCGAUAGCGAACAAGUACCGUGAGGGAAAGAUGAAAAGCACUUUGGAAAGAGAGUUAAACAGUAUGUGAAAUUGUUGAAAGGGAAACGAUUGAAGUCAGUCGUGUCCUCUGGAUUCAGCCGGCUCACGCCGGUGCACUUCCUUUGGACGGGCCAACAUCGGUUCUGGCCGACGGAUAAGGACGAGGGGAAGGUGGCACCUCCGGGUGUGUUAUAGCCCCCCGUCGCAUACGUCGGCC